CAUGAUUUUAUUGGGCAUGCUGGUACAGAGAUGAAAAUGUAAAAGAAAAAAGAGGCAAAAGAGGUAUUUAAACUUCCCUGAUUUGAGGUAUAUUAUUUCCUUUCCCAAAGAAAAGGCUGAGAGGUGGGAGCAGACGGGAGUAUAUGCAGGAUCUUUGCAGAAAUGUGCCCCUUGCACAGAUGAUCAGAGCUCAGUGCUCAUAAAAAUGAUGGAAUCUUUGAGCCAAAAUCUCCCUGCCAUAAAUUAAACUCAUGAAUUAAACCUAAACCUUUACCCUUUAUCUGAGUUUUGGAGCCCAGAUAAAUCUUCCUUCUUCCUUAUAGCAUCUUUCAGUUAAAUAUUGUAAUGUGCCUUCCCCUAAAAAGCAGGGCAAGAUUGACUAAAUCCAAGAACAGGAGGAACAUAAUGCUCUUGCUUUGCAUUAAGAAAAAAGAAAUGAACACAACAGGGAAACAUCCUCUUUCUGAGUAGCCUCCUUGUUCAGAAAAGGUGCAUAUUGAAAUGACUGCGCAGAACACAUGCCUCCCAGUUUUAGAUCUUCCUCAAGUCCUCAUACCCCUGUGAAUCACUGCACACCUCUACACCAAGUGAUGAAUGCCAGCUUGGUGUGAGUGACCACUGCCUAUCGAGGGGAUCAUCCCACAAUGGCAAGGGAAGAUGUAACGGCAGCAAAGUUCAGGAAAUGCCUUGGCUGACCUGCACAGAAGUUUCAGAACCCUCACUGCUAUUUUGUAUGAUUGGACAAUGGCUGAAAAUCCACAAGGCACUCAUCCAGGGAGUAAUUUUGUCUGGAAGACACGGCAAACUCUUUCUUUCUCUGUCAUGCAAAUGCCUCUGUGUUACUCAGGCAUUAUCUGCUAAAUUCAGAACCUGUCCUGUCCCAAAGCCACGGCCAAACUCUACUCUCAUAGGCAGCACAAGGAAAUGGAUGAGGAUCUCCUCCAGGUCCCCCACUAUUACAGUUCACAUUGUGACAUGCUACUGAAUGGUUUCCAGCUCCCUCCCAAAGAGAACUGCCGGAAUUUGGCCAUUUCAUUACAUGCUCGGCAGGACUGUACGAGAGAGUGGAAAUAACUGCAUGCUCACUAGCAGAGGAAGAGGGAAACCCUCCAGGCCUGUUUAUAUCAGAAGGAAAUGGCACCACAGGACCCAAGACUGAAGCACAAACAUCUAUGAAAUGAAAGCAGCUCUUAGAGAUGCAAUAUGCAGAAAAGGUAACUAUCAGGGAAAAUGGAUUUGUGCCAUAUAAGUGGCAGGUCUGAGCAGCAAAGAAGCCAAAACUGAGAUGCAGCCAGCCUACAGUUAAAGCUCCAAGGAUUUCAGCUUAACAUCCCAGUGAUGCUCCACAAUCCUUCCCUACACUACUGGCACCAAGAUGCACAGCCAGCUGAAGAAAGCCAUUUCAGAGUUGUCCUUUAUCACAGAAAAGAUGCUGUGAGUAAAUUAUGCACUCAUGAGCAACCCCAGCCAGCAAGACACCACAGUAUGACCAAGUCACCCUUUCCAUAAACUGUUAAAUGGAGAGACAGAGCCUUGACCUGGCUCGUCAUGUGAUCCUACAAGCAGUGAACAGCCAACACAGUGGCUCUCCCAAGUAAUGAACGGCCAAGGCGAUGGCUCUCCCUGCUCUCACAAAUGGCACAUGAUGGAAUAAAGAAGGCUUAUCUGCUUUUCUGCCAUUCUGCAUCAUCUUUUAGGAAUCCCUCCUUCCACCCGCAGGCUUGUGAUGUGCUCUUGGCUCUUAUGCCAGCCCUCCACAUACACCGUUGAUCAUGGGCCAGGCUUCACAGGAUGCUUCCUGCUUGUUUGCUUGCUAAUGAAUAUUAUUUUUAAACAGUAAGAGGUGUGGGGGAGGAAAGAUGAGGGAACCUGAAGUGAAGGCUGCCUCUGUGCUCAGUCUCUAUGGAAAUAAUCCACAAUGCUAAUACGUCCUAAAAUGGUA
Long non-coding RNA from Phasianus colchicus (ring-necked pheasant), 1942 nucleotides. RefSeq lists it as uncharacterized. NCBI's taxonomy places the organism in Eukaryota, Metazoa, Chordata, Aves, Galliformes, Phasianidae. The record is from RefSeq and is a predicted model, not a curated record.